AGAGUUUGAUCCUGGCUCAGGACGAACGCUGGCGGCGUGCUUAACACAUGCAAGUCGAACGGAAAGGCUCCUUCGGGGGUACUCGAGUGGCGAACGGGUGAGUAACACGUGGGUGAUCUGCCCUGCACUUCGGGAUAAGCUUGGGAAACUGGGUCUAAUACCGGAUAGGACCAUGGGAUGCAUGUCUUGUGGUGGAAAGCUUUUGCGGUGUGGGAUGGGCCCGCGGCCUAUCAGCUUGUUGGUGGGGUGAUGGCCUACCAAGGCGACGACGGGUAGCCGGCCUGAGAGGGUGUCCGGCCACACUGGGACUGAGAUACGGCCCAGACUCCUACGGGAGGCAGCAGUGGGGAAUAUUGCACAAUGGGCGCAAGCCUGAUGCAGCGACGCCGCGUGGGGGAUGACGGCCUUCGGGUUGUAAACCUCUUUCACCAUCGACGAAGGUCCGGGUUUUCUCGGGUUGACGGUAGGUGGAGAAGAAGCACCGGCCAACUACGUGCCAGCAGCCGCGGUAAUACGUAGGGUGCGAGCGUUGUCCGGAAUUACUGGGCGUAAAGAGCUCGUAGGUGGUUUGUCGCGUUGUUCGUGAAAUUCCAUGGCUUAACUGUGGGCGUGCGGGCGAUACGGGCAGACUGGAGUACUGCAGGGGAGACUGGAAUUCCUGGUGUAGCGGGAAUGCGCAGAUAUCAGGAGGAACACCGGUGGCGAAGGCGGGUCUCUGGGCAGUAACUGACGCUGAGGAGCGAAAGCGUGGGGAGCGAACAGGAUUAGAUACCCUAGUAGUCC
This 783-nucleotide ribosomal RNA is filed under the name uncultured bacterium. Its description in RNAcentral is "bacterial SSU rRNA". It matches the Rfam family "Bacterial small subunit ribosomal RNA", at positions 8 to 796 of the family's 1533-position model. The record is from RNAcentral.